This 468-nucleotide ribosomal RNA is filed under the name uncultured bacterium. RNAcentral's name for it is "partial 16S ribosomal RNA". It matches the Rfam family "Bacterial small subunit ribosomal RNA", at positions 28 to 507 of the family's 1533-position model. The record is from RNAcentral.
GACGAACGCUGGCGGCGUGCUUAACACAUGCAAGUCGAACGGAAAGGCCCUGCUUUUGUGGGGUGCUCGAGUGGCGAACGGGUGAGUAACACGUGAGUAACCUGCCCUUGACUUUGGGAUAACUUCAGGAAACUGGGGCUAAUACCGGAUAGGAGCUCCUGCUGCAUGGUGGGGGUUGGAAAGUUUCGGCGGUUGGGGAUGGACUCGCGGCUUAUCAGCUUGUUGGUGGGGUAGUGGCUUACCAAGGCUUUGACGGGUAGCCGGCCUGAGAGGGUGACCGGCCACAUUGGGACUGAGAUACGGCCCAGACUCCUACGGGAGGCAGCAGUGGGGAAUAUUGCACAAUGGGCGGAAGCCUGAUGCAGCAACGCCGCGUGCGGGAUGACGGCCUUCGGGUUGUAAACCGCUUUCGCCUGUGACGAGGCGUGAGUGACGGCAAUGGGUAAAGAAGCACCGGCUAACUACGUG